CCUACGGGCGGCAGCAGUGGGGAAUAUUGGGCAAUGGGCGCAAGCCUGACCCAGCAACGCCGCGUGAAGGAAGAAGGCUUUCGGGUUGUAAACUUCUUUUAUCAGGGACGAAGCAAGUGACGGUACCUGAUGAAUAAGCCACGGCUAACUACGUGCCAGCCGCCGCGGUAAUACGUAGGUGGCAAGCGUUAUCCGGAUUUACUGGGGGUAAAGGGCGUGUAGGCGGGAGUGCAAGUCAGAUGUGAAAACUAUGGGCUCAACCCAUAGCCUGCAUUUGAAACUGUACUUCUUGAGUGCGGGAGAGGCAAUCGGAAUUCCGUGUGUAGCGGUGAAAUGCGUAGAGAUACGGAGGAACACCAGUGGCGAAGGCGGAUUGCUGGACAGUAACUGACGCUGAGGCGCGAAAGCGUGGGGAGCAAACAGGAUUAGAUACCCCAGUAGUC
This 443-nucleotide ribosomal RNA is filed under the name uncultured bacterium. RNAcentral's name for it is "partial 16S ribosomal RNA". It matches the Rfam family "Bacterial small subunit ribosomal RNA", at positions 338 to 795 of the family's 1533-position model. The record is from RNAcentral.